This 426-nucleotide ribosomal RNA is filed under the name uncultured bacterium. Its description in RNAcentral is "partial 16S ribosomal RNA". It matches the Rfam family "Bacterial small subunit ribosomal RNA", at positions 354 to 796 of the family's 1533-position model. The record is from RNAcentral.
GUGAGGAAUUUUCCGCAAUGGGCGAAAGCCUGACGGAGCAAUGCCGCGUGAAGGAUGAAGGCCUAUGGGUUGUAAACUUCUUUUCUCAGAAAAGAAUUAUGACGGUAUCUGAUGAAUAAGCAUCGGCUAACUCUGUGCCAGCAGCCGCGGUAAGACAGAGGAUGCAAGCGUUAUCCGGAAUGAUUGGGCGUAAAGCGUCUGUAGGUUGUUUAAAAAGUAUUCUGUCAAAGAUUAGGGCUUAACCCUAGAUAGGCAGAAUAAACUUUUAAGCUAGAGUUUGGUAGAGGCAGAGGGAAUUCCCGGUGGAGCGGUGAAAUGCGUAGAUAUCGGGAGGAACACCAAAGGCGAAGGCACUCUGCUGGGCCAAUACUAACACUGAGAGACGAAAGCGAGGGGAGCAAAUGGGAUUAGAUACCCCAGUAGUCC